GUUACUAAUUAGAACAUAAACAGAAGUUUGUUUGUUUUCAGGUGGAAAUAAGGAUAACAUAAGGGCAGGAUGCAAGAAGUGUGGCUAUCCUGGUCAUCUGACAUUUGAAUGCCGAAACUUUCUCCGGGUGGAUCCCAAAAGAGACAUUGUUUUAGAUGUUAGCAGUACGAGCAGUGAAGACAGUGAGGAAGAAGAGCUGGGGAAACUGCAGGCUUUACCAGAAAAAAAGAAUACAAAUCAGGAAGAGGAAAAGAAGAAUCUAAAAAGAAUAAGCAAAGAAAAAUCCAAAUCAAAGAAAUUAAGUAAAAGAUCUUAUUCAUCAAGUGUCGCUGCAGAGGAAGAGCCAAAACCAAAAAAACAGAAAUCCCAUAAAAAAGAAAGGAAAAAGGAGAAAAAGAAUAAAUCCAAGAAAGGAAAACAUCACAAAAAAGAAAAAAAGAGAAAGAAAGAAAAACAUUCAUCCUCUGAUAGUUCAGACUCCUCUAGUAGUGACUGAAGAGCCAGUGCUUUCAUCUUCCAUUACCCUGAAAGAUUAGGAUUCUUACCUUUCAAAGCUAUCCUUUAUGUGCUUUACAGCUUAUAUGUGUUUUUACUGUCAGAUUAAAAUAAAUAUUAUAUAACGGAGCUUUUAAAAGUUUUAAAAAUAUUUAAAAAGUACAUUUUAUUUACAAAUAUCUACACCUUGAUAAGCUAAGAUGAAAGAUUGGGUGGGGAGGAGGGGAGAAUCUACACUGUUGGGGUUUUUUUGUUGUUGGCUGUUUAAUGGCAUUUCACUAUUUUCAUCCUAUGCAACUUGGACCAAAAAAAUAGACUACUUUAAACUUU
Molecule: non-coding RNA, 825 nt
Organism: Pelodiscus sinensis (Chinese soft-shelled turtle)
Lineage: Eukaryota; Metazoa; Chordata; Testudines; Trionychidae
Source: RefSeq, a predicted model, not a curated record